AUGCACAGCUUCCUGUUUUGGUCUGAUAGCUUCCCCUGGGCUUUCAUAGAUGCAAAAUUACUCACACAGAGAUGGGUUGCCCAUGCAAAAAAGUUUUUUAUGGCAUUAGGGGAAGCUGUUGCUGCCUGUUUUGAAGAUGCCUCUCUUAUCUCAAUGGCAAGUUUUGGACACUUCCAUACUUAAGGCAUGAGAGACUUGAAGAGUCUCUUGGAUCAACAAGUCUGUUUUCCUUCCUCACCCUCCCAAGAGUUUAAGACUUCUCCAGGAGAAAAUUCAAUUGCCUCCAACCUACUCAUUACCUGGUGACUUCACUCAGUGAAUUCAUUCCUUUGCUAGGCUGACUUGCACAUUGACCCUGAUUUUUUUUUUCCUCAAGUGCCUUGUUUAGCUACAUUUUAUGACUCUGCUUUUGACUGAGGCAUACAGGUCAAACUAUUACUUUACAAAAGGAGGUUCACAAAGUGAAUAUUUCUUAAGUAAUUCUGGAAACCUGAGAGGAAAUGAUUAGGAGACACAAAGGCAUACAACCUAGUUUGUUGAGCUUCCAUAUUGAAAAAUAAUGGCUUUACAUAGAACAUAAGCACUCUCCAGAGAUGUUUCUACAAAACGCACUUAAAGUAGUCAAAGUAGUGCUGCUGAGAAAGGUUUCUGAUGCAGGGUUACAGAAAGAAAUUUCUAAACCCUAACCAAACUAAAAGGGGGUUUUCAGAAAAUGUCCUCUUCUCUCAAAGAGAGGUUAGGUACAUACGAUAAGUACUGAGUCAACAUUUGUUUUUUGCUAACCACUCAGUAAAUUCUAGAGCAGAGAUCUUACACUAAGCUGUAGUCCUAACAAUGAAAGCGGGACCUGUUUAGCAGUUUAUGUUUCUAUUGUACAGGAGAAUGACUUCCUAGCUUAAGUGACUAUGCCUUUAUUAGAGGUUGUUAUGAUGUAAAGGGAUUUCAAAUUCUUAUGGGUUAUAGGGGGGUAAUAAUUGACUCUUCUUACCUCGCUGUACUUCCCCAGUGAAUGCACAACAGACACCAUACAUGUCACUAAAUAAACCUAAGAUACGAGACCCUCUCCUCUCAGAAUUCCUAUAGGAUGUAAACAUGAGAGAGACUCUCUGGGCUUCUGACCUAGUCACCAAGUUGGACAUAAAAAGCAAGUAAAGGAAAUAGAGUAACAUGUAAGACUCCAAUAAGGUGUUCAGGUAAUGGUAUUGUGCAUGCAAUGAGGAUGCUGAAGACAUCUGAAGUGUCAUCAAAAAAAGUAGGACUUAAAAUUGUCAAGGACAGAGAGUUUGCUUAUAGCAAUAAUAGGAGAUGUGACUAGAACACUACACGGGGACAAUGGUGGGCAGAAUAUUUUGCCCAUGAAAAGUAUGUAUUUCAUUUUGUAGGCUACUAUAAGUUAUUUACUUAAGUUUUAGGUUUCCUGACUGUCUAGGUACAAAUGGAAUUAUAUAUUUUUUCAAAUGGAAAAAAAUGGACGUGUGCCAGUUAAACAGGACAAAAGUUGUUUGCUCCUGUUUAAGGGAUGAUGACUAACACUGCAGACAAUGCUUUAAACAGGGAUUUUGCUCACCUGGAGUAGGUCCUAAUUAUUCUCAAUGAAAGUCACAACCAUACACUUGACAUGUGACUUUGGGAAGACCAUUUUGAGAAAUCCCAUUAAUGAGUUCCAAACUUGGAGCUUUCUUUUUUUCUUCUUUUUAAAACAUGGAACUUUCUGAUGAUUUAACUUGAUAAAAGGGUUGACAUAUCCCUUAACUUAACCUCUCCAAACAACAGUUGCCUCACUAAAUGUUUCAGGCUUCCAGCAAGAAUUAUAUAGUAGAUUCUAGGAAGCAAUUUGGCAAUAACUACCAGAAAGAGCCUUGUAAAGGGUCAGCUCAUUGACCUAUUAAUUCCAUGUCUAGCAACCUACCCUAUCCAUAUUACAAUAAUCUGAAACACAUAAAGAUGUCCAUUUCAGUAUUAUCUAUAAUAGUAAAAAAAAAAAAGGAAAAAACAAGUUUUUAAUUGUAAACACAGUAGAUAUUACACAUAAUAAAAUACCAUAAGGCCAUUGACCUGAUAAUAAAUAAUAUUACUGGCAUGAGGCUUAGACAUAAAUGAAAUAAGCAAGAUGUAUAUGAAACUUAGAAUAGUUCUUAGCAUAUUAGUGAUUAUGCACUGGUAUUAAGUAUUAUUAGUAAUUGCUAUAUACAGUGUUAUCUAAAAUACGGUAAUGUGUAUAGAAAAGACAGAAAAAAUAUGUUAAGAUGCUAAUCACCAUAGCAUUAUUACCCGGAUUGAUCAUUAACAUGGCAUAACUAUUAAGAAUGAUUGUUUUGGUAUUUUACAAAUUCUCCACAAUCAGAGAUUGUACUUUAAUCAAAGAAAAAAAGCCUAUGCAAUUAUAAAGAGAAACUCUCACCAUCAAAGCUUAAGUUUGGUUCUCUCUUCUCCCACUGACUAAAGGGCAAUGAUGUAGUUUAAAUAUCAGACAUGUAAGAAGCAAAGUUGUUUAAAGUGAGAGGAAGUGCUUUGAAGCUGUUACGUCUAUGAAAGAUCUCUCCCAUCCUCAAAUGGAGGAUGGUAAUAGAGGCACUUGAAGAAAGCCCCAAAUUCUAUGCCGUUAAAACUGGAUCUCAAGAGGUCUGAAAAACUUUUGUUAAGUAAAGCAGUCGAGGGCUGCCCAGGUGGCAGUUAAGUGACCAAUUCUAAAGCUCAGUUUGUGAUCUUAGAGUCGUGAGAUUGAGCCCCGUGUCAGACUCCACACUCAGGGUGGAGUUGGCUUGAGAUUCUCUCUCCCUCUCUCUCUGCCUCUCCCAUUUAUGCUCUCUCUCUCUCAAUCAAAUAAAUAAAUAAAUCUUAAAAGAAGAAGAAGAAGAAGAAGAAGAAGAAGAAGAAGAAGAAGCAGCUUAGUUUCGUCUAGACCCCAGCUGCCCGGGUUUAAAUCGUGACUCUACUACCUUGUGGUUGUGUGACUUGAGCACGUCAUUUAGCCUUCUGUUCAACUGUUCUUUCACUCUUAUGAGGUUAUUGUGAGGAUGAAAGCAUGUAAAUGUAGAGUGCUUCAAAUAACACCUUGGUCUCUGCAAGAACUCAAUAAAUGUGAGCUAUUACUAAAUCAAAGGCUCUGUUUCUGAAGCUUGAUUGUAAGUCUUGUGUUGAACUCUGUGGCUCCUCGUGCCCUGGGCUGCCUCUGGCCUCUGUUAUAUUUUGUCAGCUGUUUUAGCAAGGACAUAAAGGAACUCCCUGUAAAAUGUCUUUCUAAACUCGGUCAAGAAAGGAAAAAGAACAGGUUCACAAUUAUUCACUCAUAGGCACAAAUGUCUUUUAUAAACUAAGGACAUCUUGCUUAUACAGAUGAUUGGUUCAAUAAUGGAAGGGUAACUUUAAUG
This 3371-nucleotide long non-coding RNA is filed under the name Canis lupus familiaris (dog). RNAcentral describes it as "lncRNA (ENSCAFG00040022930.1)". Lineage: Eukaryota; Metazoa; Chordata; Mammalia; Carnivora; Canidae. The record is from RNAcentral.